AUUUUAAGCUUCUUAAGUGCUAGUGUGGUGCUAUUCUGGAUUGUGGUGGAGUGGGUUUGGGUUGCGCUUUCGCUUUGGUUUUGGUUUUGGGUAAUAAUUGGAGAGUUUCUUUCUGGAAGGGGAGGAUCUUGAUCAGAUACUCCUACGGGCAACUUUGUCUUGCUUGGUACACAUCCACCACCCUUACCCAUACCAGAAUUCAAUAUGGGUAUUAGCUUGCUGCUACAAUAUGACUCUGCUUCAAAGCUAUAUGAAUCUUGUGCAAGAAUUGUUGGCUUCUACUAGUUCCACUUGAAAUUUUGAACUAUAUAG
This 312-nucleotide unclassified non-coding RNA is filed under the name Hevea brasiliensis (rubber tree). The record is from RNAcentral. Lineage: Eukaryota; Viridiplantae; Streptophyta; Magnoliopsida; Malpighiales; Euphorbiaceae.